This 244-nucleotide long non-coding RNA is filed under the name Elaeis guineensis (African oil palm). RNAcentral's name for it is "long non-coding RNA (EGUI_LNC026011)". Lineage: Eukaryota; Viridiplantae; Streptophyta; Magnoliopsida; Arecales; Arecaceae. The record is from RNAcentral.
GUGGGCAGAUGAGUCUCAGAUCUACAGUGUAGAGACAUUUGAGAUGAGAGUGCAGAUGGUUGUUAGAGAAUAACUUAUACUGCGCGUGACCAACAUAAGAAAUUACUUAGAUAUCUACUCACUCGUUAGUGGUUGACUCGAUGCUGUAGUAGUGUGAGUGGUCUUUUAACUUACGGUAUCAUCGGCUAUUCGCAGCGAGGCUACUGAGUUUGACUGCAUAUUCUCUUAGUUCCUAGCCAUUCAG